AGAGAAUAGAUACCCUGGUAGUCCUGGCCGUAAACGAUGUCGACUAGAUCGCAGUUCCUUCAAACGGAAAUUGCGGUCGAAAGCAAAAGUGCUAAGUCGACCGCCUGGGAAGUACGGUCGCAAGGCUAAAACUCAAAGAAAUUGACGGGGGCUCACACAAGCGGUGGAGCAUGUGGUUCAAUUCGAAGCAACGCGCAGAACCUUACCUGGGCUUGACAUGCUAGGAUUAUCCCUAUGAAAGUAGGGUAGGCCCUCGGGUACGAACUAGUACAGGUGCUGCAUGGCUGUCGUCAGCUCGUGUCGUGAGAUGUCGGGUUAAGUCCCUUAAC
RNAcentral lists this ribosomal RNA (329 nucleotides) under uncultured bacterium. Its description in RNAcentral is "bacterial SSU rRNA". It matches the Rfam family "Bacterial small subunit ribosomal RNA", at positions 774 to 1093 of the family's 1533-position model. The record is from RNAcentral.